AUUGAACGCUGGCGGCAGGCCUACACAUGCAAGUCGAGCGGAUGAAGGGAGCUUGCUCCUGGAUUCAGCGGCGGACGGGUGAGUAAUGCCUAGGAAUCUGCCUGGUAGUGGGGGAUAACGUCCGGAAACGGGCGCUAAUACCGCAUACGUCCUGAGGGAGAAAGGGGGGGAUCUUCGGACCUCACGCUAUCAGAUGAGCCUAGGUCGGAUUAGCUAGUUGGUGGGGUAAAGGCCUACCAAGGCGACGAUCCGUAACUGGUCUGAGAGGAUGAUCAGUCACACUGGAACUGAGACACGGUCCAGACUCCUACGGGAGGCAGCAGUGGGGAAUAUUGGACAAUGGGCGAAAGCCUGAUCCAGCCAUGCCGCGUGUGUGAAGAAGGUCUUCGGAUUGUAAAGCACUUUAAGUUGGGAGGAAGGGCAGUAAGUUAAUACCUUGCUGUUUUGACGUUACCAACAGAAUAAGCACCGGCUAACUUCGUG
RNAcentral lists this ribosomal RNA (483 nucleotides) under uncultured bacterium. RNAcentral's name for it is "partial 16S ribosomal RNA". It matches the Rfam family "Bacterial small subunit ribosomal RNA", at positions 30 to 507 of the family's 1533-position model. The record is from RNAcentral.